This 109-nucleotide ribosomal RNA is filed under the name uncultured Superficieibacter sp. The record is from RNAcentral. Lineage: Bacteria; Pseudomonadati; Pseudomonadota; Gammaproteobacteria; Enterobacterales; Enterobacteriaceae.
CGGCACUAGCGCGGUGGUCCCACCUGACCCCAUGCCGAACUCAGAAGUGAAACGCCGUAGCGCCGAUGGUAGUGUGGGGUCUCCCCAUGCGAGAGUAGGGAACUGCCAG